RNAcentral lists this ribosomal RNA (554 nucleotides) under uncultured bacterium. RNAcentral describes it as "partial 16S ribosomal RNA". It matches the Rfam family "Bacterial small subunit ribosomal RNA", at positions 355 to 900 of the family's 1533-position model. The record is from RNAcentral.
UAGGGAAUCUUCCACAAUGGACGCAAGUCUGAUGGAGCAACGCCGCGUGAGUGAAGAAGGUUUUCGGAUCGUAAAGCUCUGUUGUUGGUGAAGAAGGAUAGAGGCAGUAACUGGUCUUUAUUUGACGGUAAUCAACCGGAAAGUCACGGCUAACUACGUGCCAGCAGCCGCGGUAAUACGUAGGUGGCAAGCGUUGUCCGGAUUUAUUGGGCGUAAAGCGAGCGCAGGCGGAAUGAUAAGUCUGAUGUGAAAGCCCACGGCUCAACCGUGGAACUGCAUCGGAAACUGUCAUUCUUGAGUGCAGAAGAGGAGAGUGGAACUCCAUGUGUAGCGGUGGAAUGCGUAGAUAUAUGGAAGAACACCAGUGGCGAAGGCGGCUCUCUGGUCUGCAACUGACGCUGAGGCUCGAAAGCAUGGGUAGCGAACAGGAUUAGAUACCCUGGUAGUCCAUGCCGUAAACGAUGAGCGCUAGGUGUUGGGGACUUUCCGGUCCUCAGUGCCGCAGCAAACGCAUUAAGCGCUCCGCCUGGGGAGUACGACCGCAAGGUUGAAAC